CCCUUAGAUGUUCUGGGCUGCACGCGCGCUACACUGACGCACGCAACAGGUGCCUGCUCCGAGAGGACUGGGUAAUCAUUUGAGUGUGCGUCGUGAUGGGGAUAGAAUAUUGUAAUUAUUACUCUUCAACGAGGAAUUCCUAGUAAGCGCCAGUCAGCAGCUUGCGCUGAUUACGUCCCUGCCCUUUGUACACACCGCCCGUCGCUCCUACCGAUGGGUGAUCCGGUGAAUGAUUCGGACUUCAGCGGCUCCCCUGGGGUGCGCCGGAGAAAGUUUUGUGAACCUUAUCACUUGGAGGAAGGAGAAGUUGUAACA
This 315-nucleotide ribosomal RNA is filed under the name uncultured eukaryote. Its description in RNAcentral is "partial 18S ribosomal RNA". It matches the Rfam family "Eukaryotic small subunit ribosomal RNA", at positions 1470 to 1796 of the family's 1831-position model. The record is from RNAcentral.